AACCACUUCGGUGGUCAUCCGUAAAAAUUGGAACGAUACAGAGAAGAUUAGCAUGGCCCCUGCACAGAAGGAACACGCAUAAAUCGAGAAGUAUCGCACUUUGUG
RNAcentral lists this small nuclear RNA (105 nucleotides) under Phytophthora infestans T30-4. The record is from RNAcentral. Lineage: Eukaryota; Oomycota; Peronosporomycetes; Peronosporales; Peronosporaceae.